UUAUAUGAGAGUUUGAUCCUGGCUCAGGACGAACGCUGGCGGCAUGCCUAAUACAUGCAAGUCGAACGCACGAAGUUGAAAAGCUUGCUUUUCGACCAAGUGAGUGGCGGACGGGUGAGUAACACGUGGGUAACCUGCCCAUAAGAGGGGGAUAACAUCCGGAAACGGAUGCUAAUACCGCAUAUUUCAAAUGACCGCAUGGUCGCUUGAUGAAAGGUGGCUUCGGCUACCGCUUAUGGAUGGACCCGCGGUGCAUUAGUUAGUUGGUGAGGUAAUGGCUCACCAAGACAAUGAUGCAUAGCCGACCUGAGAGGGUGAUCGGCCACACUGGGACUGAGACACGGCCCAGACUCCUACGGGAGGCAGCAGUAGGGAAUCUUCCGCAAUGGACGAAAGUCUGACGGAGCAAUGCCGCGUGAGUGAAGAAGGUUUUCGGAUCGUAAAACUCUGUUGUUAGAGAAGAACAAGGAUGAGAGUA
This 478-nucleotide ribosomal RNA is filed under the name Carnobacterium divergens. RNAcentral describes it as "bacterial SSU rRNA". It matches the Rfam family "Bacterial small subunit ribosomal RNA", at positions 1 to 463 of the family's 1533-position model. The record is from RNAcentral. Lineage: Bacteria; Bacillati; Bacillota; Bacilli; Lactobacillales; Carnobacteriaceae.